RNAcentral lists this non-coding RNA (224 nucleotides) under Hymenobacter gelipurpurascens. The record is from RNAcentral. Lineage: Bacteria; Pseudomonadati; Bacteroidota; Cytophagia; Cytophagales; Hymenobacteraceae.
UAUCUUUGCCUGCGUAAAGGUGGCCGGACUCCGAUUGGGGGGCGAGGCUGAAAAGGGAAUCCGGUUUAAUUCCGGAGCUGUCCCCGCAACUGUACGCUUCUUUUUACCAGGCGGUCAUUCCCCCUGCCACUGUUUUGAUGUAGGCCACUUAGUAGCCGGCAAAGAAAUGGGAAGGCGACCGACCCGAAGCAAGCCAGGAGACCUGCCUUUGCAUUUCCUAUGUU